GAUCCUGGCUCAGGAUGAACGCUAGCUACAGGCUUAACACAUGCAAGUCGAGGGGGCGAGCAUGGUCUUAGCUUGCUAAGGCCGAUGGCGACCGGCGCACGGGUGAGUAACACGUAUCCAACCUGCCGUCUACUCUUGGACAGCCUUCUGAAAGGAAGAUUAAUACAAGAUGGCAUCAUGAGUUCACAUGUUCACAUGAUUAAAGGUAUUCCGGUAGACGAUGGGG
Molecule: ribosomal RNA, 226 nt
Filed under: uncultured bacterium
Lineage: Bacteria
Description: partial 16S ribosomal RNA
Rfam family: Bacterial small subunit ribosomal RNA
Source: RNAcentral